AACGCGAAGAACCUUACCUGGGUUUGACAUCCUGUGAAUAUUUUAGAGAUAGAAUCGGCCCGCAAGGGACACAGAGACAGGUGCUGCAUGGCUGUCGUCAGCUCGUGUUGUGAAAUGUUGGGUUAAGUCCCGCAACGAGCGCAACCCUUGCCAUUGGUUGCCACCAUUUAGUUGGGCACUCCAAUGGGACUGCCGUCGUCAAGACGGAGGAAGGUGGGGAUGACGUCAAGUCCUCAUGGCCUUUAUAUCCAGGGCGACACACGUGAUACAAUGGUAGGUACAGAGGGUAGCGAAGUGGUGACACGGAGCCAAUCUCAAAAAGCCUAUCUCAGUUCGGAUUGGAGUCUGCAACUCGACUCCAUGAAGUUGGAAUCGCUAGUAAUCGCGGAUCAGCACGCCGCGGUGAAUACGUUCCCGGGCCUUGUACACACCGUAGUA
RNAcentral lists this ribosomal RNA (438 nucleotides) under uncultured bacterium. RNAcentral describes it as "bacterial SSU rRNA". It matches the Rfam family "Bacterial small subunit ribosomal RNA", at positions 958 to 1398 of the family's 1533-position model. The record is from RNAcentral.